AUACGUAGGUGGCAAGCGUUGUCCGGAAUUAUUGGGCGUAAAGCGCGCGCAGGCGGUCCUUUAAGUCUGAUGUGAAAGCCCACGGCUCAACCGUGGAGGGUCAUUGGAAACUGGGGGACUUGAGUGCUGAAGAGGAAAGUGGAAUUCCAAGUGUAGCGGUGAAAUGCGUAGAGAUUUGGAGGAACACCAGUGGCGAAGGCGGCUUUCUGGUCUGUAACUGACGCUGAGGCGCGAAAGCGUGGGGAGCAAACAGGAUUAGAUACCCUGGUAGUCCACGCCGUAAACGAUGAGUGCUAAGUGUUAGGGGGUUUCCGCCCCUUAGUGCUGCAGCUAACGCAUUAAGCACUCCGCCUGGGGAGUACGGUCGCAAGACUGAAACUCAAAUGAAUUGACGGGG
RNAcentral lists this ribosomal RNA (397 nucleotides) under uncultured bacterium. RNAcentral describes it as "partial 16S ribosomal RNA". It matches the Rfam family "Bacterial small subunit ribosomal RNA", at positions 523 to 918 of the family's 1533-position model. The record is from RNAcentral.